AAUUUAAUUAGCUCAGAGAAGGGAGUAGUGUCCAUAGCAUUCUUGCAUUCAACCAUAAAUGUACAAACAUACUGUAUGUACUAAAUCCUCAUGUAUAAUUACUGCCAUCCUGUCUUAGAGUAUUGUCUUGUUACUCCCAUUAACCGGGCUCACUGCAUAUUCACUAAAACCCAAGUAGCCAUUUUGAAUUCAACAACAAAUCUGUGAAAAAAUGUCUACCAAGGUUUUUGUAAACAUGAAUUCCAGAAUUGUAAAAAUGACCAAAUUGUACCAAAUAAAUAAAUACAUAAAAUGCAUACUUUUAAAAAAUGCACAUAUGAUAAUAUGUGUCAUCAUAUGCUAAAGGCAGGCCUAUUAGAACUUCACAGGGGAUUGUUUUUUUGUUCUGUGUGUAUACAAAUCCCACCAUAUGGACACUAUUUCACAAAGUCUUCCAGAACCUAGAAAUGCUCAUGUUGCUUUACACCCCACAAUAUGUUUUGGCGUUUGACAAAAUAAAGGGUUUUCUUUAGGUAAUACAUGGAAACUAGUAAAUCAAUUGCUGUUGUAUUUCUUGCAAUGGCCAUGCAAUAGUACAUGUAGCCGUGUUGUCGAGUGUCAUCAUGAUGUAAAGGAGACUGGGUACAAUAAGAAAAAAUGACUUCAAAGCACUUUUUUUCUUUGUUCCAGAUGGUAGUGUUCACCCAUCAAAUGCAUGUUGUUUUAAGCUGUCUACAGGUAAAAGGAACAUUUUAUUUGAAUAAUCUACAUUGAAUAUUUGCACAUGUGAAUUAAUGUUCCUUUUUUGCAUGUGAACAUCUAUUGUUCAUUGUUGGUUUAUUUCAGGAAUGACAUUUUACAAAUGGCUGUGAUUACAGUUUUUCCAUAUCUAAAGUGGCAAUGUACUUUUGACCGUUGAGUAAAACAUUUCCAUUAUUUGUAGUGUUUAUUACUCGCUGUUCACAAAGAAUUUAUUUUAGUGUGAAAGGCUUAAAGUCACAAUCAGUUUCAGAAGAAAAGAAUAAAACAGUUUAUUUUAAA
Long non-coding RNA from Rhinichthys klamathensis goyatoka, 1020 nucleotides. RefSeq lists it as uncharacterized. NCBI's taxonomy places the organism in Eukaryota, Metazoa, Chordata, Actinopteri, Cypriniformes, Leuciscidae. The transcript is spliced from 2 exons. The record is from RefSeq and is a predicted model, not a curated record.